GUCAUGGCUGGAACAAGUGAAAGAUUUUGAAAGAAGAUUCUCUAAAUAUAUUCAUCAUUUGCAACCUGCCCCAGGACACUGGAGAAUGUUUCUCAUGGAGGGAUCUGUCUGUACUGGUGCCUGGGAGUGGUUAAUAGAUCCCGAGACAAAAGAGUUCCUUCUUCACGUCUUUAUGGAAUCAUCCAUUUUUUCAUGAUUAGCUUUUCACUCUAAUAGGUUUGUUCUUUGCUGGAUGCACAAGAGGUAGUUGCACCAUCAAUUACAGCAGUUCAGUGUCAAACAGUAUUAACAGAGUAUAAUAUGUCUGGUGAUGAUACUGGAAAACUAAUUUUGAAACCUAGGCCUUGUGUUCAA
RNAcentral lists this long non-coding RNA (354 nucleotides) under Homo sapiens (human). RNAcentral's name for it is "non-protein coding lnc-TK2-8:1". Lineage: Eukaryota; Metazoa; Chordata; Mammalia; Primates; Hominidae. The record is from RNAcentral.